GUUCCUGUAACGCAAGAUACAGCGCGUUAGACAUCUAAUCCAAUGGUCGUGGGUUCGAAUCCCACCUGGAAUG
Trichonephila clavipes is the source of this 73-nucleotide non-coding RNA. Lineage: Eukaryota; Metazoa; Arthropoda; Arachnida; Araneae; Nephilidae. The record is from the annotation of a GenBank genome assembly.